UAGAGAAGGAAGAAGUCCGGAACAUGAGCAGCACAAGUUCAGCGGCAUGACCAGUUCUUCUCUUCAGUGGUUCGAUUAGGUUUGGCAUAUGAGGAAAAACCGACGAGAGGUACAACCGUACCAAAGUGAGAGCCUUUCAAGUUGCAAUAUAAUAAAGGUUGAUAAUAAGAUUGGCAACUGCCGAAAUGACACGAGCUUUCUUAGUCGGGGAAGGC
This 215-nucleotide long non-coding RNA is filed under the name Elaeis guineensis (African oil palm). RNAcentral describes it as "long non-coding RNA (EGUI_LNC002877)". Lineage: Eukaryota; Viridiplantae; Streptophyta; Magnoliopsida; Arecales; Arecaceae. The record is from RNAcentral.